GAUGAACGCUGGCGGCGUGCCUAAUACAUGCAGGUCGAGCGAACAGACGAGGAGCUUGCUCCUCUGACGUUAGCGGCGGACGGGUGAGUAACACGUGGAUAACCUACCUAUAAGACUGGGAUAACUUCGGGAAACCGGAGCUAAUACCGGAUAAUAUAUUGAACCGCAUGGUUCAAUAGUGAAAGACGGUUUUGCUGUCACUUAUAGAUGGAUCCGCGCCGCAUUAGCUAGUUGGUAAGGUAACGGCUUACCAAGGCAACGAUGCGUAGCCGACCUGAGAGGGUGAUCGGCCACACUGGAACUGAGUCACGGUCCAGACUCCUACGGGAGGCAGCAGUAGGGAAUCUUCCGCAAUGGGCGAAAGCCUGACGGAGCAACGCCGCGUGAGUGAUGAAGGUCUUCGGAUCGUAAAACUCUGUUAUUAGGGAAGAACAAAUGUGUAAGUAACUAUGCACGUCUUGACGGGACCUAAUCAGAAAGCCACGGCUAACUACGU
RNAcentral lists this ribosomal RNA (496 nucleotides) under uncultured bacterium. RNAcentral's name for it is "partial 16S ribosomal RNA". It matches the Rfam family "Bacterial small subunit ribosomal RNA", at positions 28 to 506 of the family's 1533-position model. The record is from RNAcentral.